UACGUAGGGUGCGAGCGUUGUCCGGAAUUAUUGGGCGUAAAGAGCUCGUAGGCGGUGUGUCGCGUCGGCCGUGAAAACCUGGGGCUCAACUCUGGGCGUGCGGUCGAUACGGGCAUCACUGGAGUUCGGCAGGGGAGACUGGAAUUCCUGGUGUAGCGGUGAAAUGCGCAGAUAUCAGGAGGAACACCGGUGGCGAAGGCGGGUCUCUGGGCAGUAACUGACGCUGAGGAGCGAAAGCGUGGGGAGCGAACAGG
Molecule: ribosomal RNA, 254 nt
Filed under: uncultured bacterium
Lineage: Bacteria
Description: partial 16S ribosomal RNA
Rfam family: Bacterial small subunit ribosomal RNA
Source: RNAcentral